GCUCGACAGAGGAGUACCGAUGCAACGCUCGCCAUAGGGAAUUGGGAAGGUACAGAGUUGGGCUCCCCUGAUCACUAUAUUUAUUGGGAAGCUUGGUACAAGACAAUCUUAGUUUGGGCUAUGAUGCAACAAUAGGUUCAAGCUGAGUGAACAGUAUUUGUGAUCCAAGUGACUGGUUUUAGCUUGUCAACUUGACAUAUUACACAGCGUCGACGAUGCUCUAGGACUAACAAAAAAACACUUUUGCGUUGCACAAGGUUUUGAUUGCCAAAGCUGGACUUGACUGAGCAGAUACAUUGACGAUGUUCAUCAAGGGGUUGUUGGAUAUCUUGACCGGUCUGCAGUACUUGGAAGAAAACUUCCUAGGUAACGUUCAGGAGAUAAAUGAUUUUAAUGUUACAUAGCACACUCCUCUCUGCAUGUUCCAUGCCAAGUGGAGCA
This is a non-coding RNA of Triticum urartu, 441 nucleotides long. The record is from RefSeq and is a predicted model, not a curated record. NCBI's taxonomy places the organism in Eukaryota, Viridiplantae, Streptophyta, Magnoliopsida, Poales, Poaceae.